UGGUGUGAUACUUCUUCGUUU
This 21-nucleotide non-coding RNA is filed under the name Caenorhabditis elegans. Lineage: Eukaryota; Metazoa; Nematoda; Chromadorea; Rhabditida; Rhabditidae. The record is from RNAcentral.